UACGGGGAGUGCAAGCGUUGUUCGGAAUUAUUGGGCGUAAAGCGCGUGUAGGCGGCCUGUUAAGUCUGGAGUGAAAUCCCUCGGCUCAACCGAGGACGUGCUUCGGAUACUGGCAGGCUUGAGUCCCGGAGGGGCAGAUGGAAUUCCCAGUGUAGCGGUGAAAUUCGUAGAGAUUGGGAGGAACACCAGUGGCGAAGGCGGUCUGCUGGACGGUGACUGACGCUGAGACGCGAAAGCGAGGGGAGCAAACAGG
Molecule: unclassified non-coding RNA, 253 nt
Filed under: uncultured delta proteobacterium
Lineage: Bacteria; Deltaproteobacteria
Description: contains 16S-23S intergenic spacer region
Rfam family: Bacterial small subunit ribosomal RNA
Source: RNAcentral